GGACUACUAGGGUAUCUAAUCCCGUUUGCUCCCCACGCUUUCGCACCUCAGCGUCAGUCUUAGGCCAGGAAGGCGCCUUCGCCACCGGUGUUCCUCCUGAUAUCUACGCAUUUCACCGCUACACCAGGAAUUCCCCUUCCCCCUCCCAGACUCAAGUCAUCCAGUAUCCAAGGCACUGUUCACGUUGAGCGCUGAACCUUUCACCCCAGACUUAAAUAACCGCCUACGCGCGCUUUACGCCCAGUAACUUCGGACAACGCUCGCCCCCUACGUAUUACCGCGGCGGCUGGCACCU
RNAcentral lists this unclassified non-coding RNA (295 nucleotides) under uncultured fungus. RNAcentral describes it as "sequence contains ITS1". The record is from RNAcentral. Lineage: Eukaryota; Fungi.